CAGCCGCCGCGGUAAUACGAAGGGUGCAAGCGUUAAUCGGAAUUACUGGGCGUAAAGCGUGCGUAGGCGGUGAGUUAAGUCUGCUGUGAAAUCCCCGGGCUCAACCUGGGAAUGGCAGUGGAUACUGGCUCGCUAGAGUGUGUCAGAGGAUGGUGGAAUUCCCGGUGUAGCGGUGAAAUGCGUAGAGAUCGGGAGGAACAUCAGUGGCGAAGGCGGCCAUCUGGGACAACACUGACGCUGAGGCUCGAAGGCCAGGGUAGCGAAAGGGAUUAGAUACCCCGGUAGUCCCUGUCUCUUAUAC
Molecule: ribosomal RNA, 301 nt
Filed under: uncultured bacterium
Lineage: Bacteria
Description: partial 16S ribosomal RNA
Rfam family: Bacterial small subunit ribosomal RNA
Source: RNAcentral